Long non-coding RNA from Heterocephalus glaber (naked mole-rat), 594 nucleotides. RefSeq lists it as uncharacterized. The record is from RefSeq and is a predicted model, not a curated record. Lineage: Eukaryota; Metazoa; Chordata; Mammalia; Rodentia; Bathyergidae.
CCGGCGCUGUAGCUGUGAGCUCUCCAGGUCAUUCCUGUGCGUGCCCACCAGAGAGCGCUGCAGUGCGCCGCUCCGGGACCGUUUACAGUACAGAUGCCCAGGAAGUGGGGCCUGGUGGUGGCCCGUACUCUGCAUUUCUAGCAAGCCACCGGUGACGCCCUGGGCCCGUACAGACCACUGCCCACACGGCUGUUUACACUCAGGUGCUUCCUCUCCUUGCUUCACUCCUGGCUCACAGACCACGCGGGGUUAGUGGCUGCUGUGUUGUGCGCACGCAGCCCCUGGACAAUCUCGCAGGACACUGAGCUAGAGCAAAUCGCCUGCCCCUGAACUUCCUGAGGUCAACACUGAUGCCUGGAGCCCCAGCUUCAGCACUGGGGUGGCCUUGGGUCAUCCCCGUGGCAUCUAUUAUCUUACUGGUGACUGCCCAACAGAGAGGACAUUAACGCACUUUCCAAAGACACAAGCUCAUUCAUAUACAACACAAAGGAGGCUCAAAGAAAAUUUAAAUAACAUGGCUAUUAAAGGAAAAUUGAAAGGAGCAAAGCCUAAGGGUCUCACUCACAGGUAGAAGACAGGAAUAAGUGACAGCUG